CCUACGGGGGGCAGCAGUGAGGAAUAUUGGUCAAUGGACGCGAGCCUGAACCAGCCAAGUAGCGUGAAGGAUGACUGCCCUAUGGGUUGUAAACUUCUUUUAUAUGGGAAUAAAGUGUUCCACGUGUGCCUUUUUGUAUGUACCUUAUGAAUAAGGAUCGGCUAACUCCGUGCCAGCAGCCGCGGUAAUACGGAGGAUCCGAGCGUUAUCCGGAUUUAUUGGGUUUAAAGGGAGCGUAGGUGGGUUGUUAAGUCAGUUGUGAAAGUUUGCGGCUCAACCGUAAAAUUGCAGUUGAUACUGGCAGUCUUGAGUACAGUAGAGGUGGGCGGAAUUCGUGGUGUAGCGGUGAAAUGCUUAGAUAUCACGAAGAACUCCGAUUGCGAAGGCAGCUCACUGGACUGCAACUGACACUGAGGCUCGAAAGUGUGGGUAGCAAACAGGAUUAGAUACCCUUGUAGUC
This 460-nucleotide ribosomal RNA is filed under the name uncultured bacterium. RNAcentral's name for it is "partial 16S ribosomal RNA". It matches the Rfam family "Bacterial small subunit ribosomal RNA", at positions 338 to 795 of the family's 1533-position model. The record is from RNAcentral.